Molecule: ribosomal RNA, 404 nt
Filed under: Fusobacteriota bacterium
Lineage: Bacteria; Fusobacteriati; Fusobacteriota
Description: Fusobacteria bacterium partial 16S ribosomal RNA
Rfam family: Bacterial small subunit ribosomal RNA
Source: RNAcentral
UGGGGAAUAUUGCACAAUGGAGGGAACUCUGAUGCAGCGACGCCGCGCGAGUGAUGAAGGAUUUCGUUUCGUAAAACUCUGUUCUAUGGGAAGAAAAGGACUGUACCAUAGGAGAAAGCUCCGGCUAAAUACGUGCCAGCAGCCGCGGUAAUACGUAUGGAGCGAGCGUUGUCCGGAAUUAUUGGGCGUAAAGGGUGCGCAGGCGGCUUUACAAGUUGGAUGUGAAAUAUUGUGGCUCAACCACAAACGUGCAUCCAAAACUGCAAAGCUUGAGUUAAGGAGAGGUAAGUGGAAUUCCUGGUGUAGCGGUGGAAUGCGUAGAUAUCAGGAGGAAUACCGGUGGCGAAGGCGACUUACUGGACUUAAACUGACGCUCAGGCACGAAAGCGUGGGGAGCAAACAGG